CGCCUCCCAGCCUGGACUCAGGGGAGUCCAGCUGCAGGGCUUCAGAGCGAGAUGAAUCAUGCUGAACGCUGUGGUUAUGGUCAGACCUCCAAUGGGGGGGGGGGUUUCUACUGCUUUGCAGAUGUGAGAAUGAAGGCACAGGGGGAGGAGGGCACCGCACACAAACGUUGCAAGAUAGGGGCAGGAUCAGGAAUGCCGCCCAGAAUUCCCAGAUCCCAGCCCCUGCCGGUAUUAGGCUCUGGAGUUGUUUCCUUCCCUUCCCUUUGGUCCUCCCCAAGCUCUCCGCCUGCUGGUUGCAGCUCUCAUCCAUGAUUCCCUUCUCUCGCACAUUCCUGGUAUGAAGCAGGCGUGUUUGUCAAGUGUGGCUUUGGGGCCAGAUCCAGCAUUCCAGACUGGGGUGAGCUGAGGUAAACGAGGAACAGCCCCCUGCCCACCCACCCCUCCCGGCCUCCUAGCUUCAAGUGCUGUAGCUUUGCUCGGUCUCCUUCAGGCAAGGCUCGGAGAUGGAAGAGUGGUGCAAACUCUGGCAGGCAAUUAGGGAGCCACAGACUUCACAACGUCAAUAUGUUGCUGCAGGCAAUGUGUACGUGACUGCACUCUACUUAGCCCCCUCCAACUCUUUUUUCCUCCCCCCCCCCACACUCUGGAAGUCACUUUCAGAACUCUUUAGCAGGGAGUCAAGACACCUUCCCAUCACUUUUUAGAUAACUUUGGCAAAUCAGGGGGCUACCAAAGCAACACUGAUUAUUAGUCAAGGUUGGAAUAUUUGCACCGAGCUUCUGGAAGAUGUGGGAGUUCAAUACAGCAGAUAGCACGAAGGUCUUAAGCUUUUGAUAGCCUUAAAACAAGGACACAAUGACAGAUUUCCACGAGGAUCCAAGAAACAGUUCACUUCACAACUUUGGGCAACUUUGACCUCUCAUCACAAUGAGCAUAAAGGAACCGUGAGUUAUAUGUGCGGACUGCCUUCCUGAAAAGGUAAAUGAUAAGAAGAAUGGUAUUGCCUCCAUUGGAUACAAAGAGCCCAGCUAAUUUGCCCAUACUGGGUCUGCAGCAGAGGGAGAGACCCUUGGGACAAGGAUUUCUUCUGUUCUGCUUGCUAGAGGUGGAAGCCUUCACAAGUUAAAUACAAUGAAAACAUACAAUUGUAAGAUCAGGUCAGGGCAGAGGGGUUUUUGCUUCCUCUGAGUUUCAAGGGCCUUCCUCCUCUCAGGGCUACAGGCCCUUCACACCACCCAUCCUGCCCCAAAGCGGUCCCUGAUCAAUUGCCUUCAGUCCCCGGAAGGGGAGAAGUAAGGAGGUUUCCUCAUCCAGGAUGAUCAGAAGUUCCACCCUCCCGAUGGAUCUGAAGCCCUGAAUGUAACAAAUGCCCCCAAACACUGCCACCAUCAGAGAGGACAGUAUGAAAGGAAGGGGGGAAAAAACAGCCCUGCUAUCAUUGGUCAAGACACCUUUGAUGUCAUAAUCAAAGUCAGCAGGUAAAUUUGGUUAGAACAUUCUCAGCUUGGGCUCUUUUUACAGACAAUUCCUGUCUCUGUGCAACGAACGUCGAGCCUUUGCUCAUGUUUCAGAAGACCAGGAGAUCCAUCCCCAAAUCACCCCAAUUUUCAGGACCCCAACAGAAAUGUUGUUGCAGAAUUUUCGCUUUCUGCCUAGCGCAUUCAUUCUUCUUGGGUGUUUUUUUUAAAAGAACAACAAGAAGACAAUCUCUUGGAGAUGUUAAAAUGCAAAAAAUAAAAUAAAAUAUUCAUGUCUGAAAUGGUCACCUGGCCAAUAUGGAGGGAAGGAAAGAUUUUUGCAUCUCUUCAAACAUCUAGCAGUAUUAGCUUCGAAAGUCAGGUGAUUAUUCUUUUCACAGUAUAAUCCUAGCAGUGCCUGCUAACAUCUGCGAAUCAGCCUGAUUUUAAAGGCCCAGAAGCAAAGUUCAUUCUCAUUGCAAGCAUUUUCCUACUCUUGCAUACUUCGGUUUACUUUCUUCAUAAAUGAAAAACAAGUAUUAUUAGAGCUAUGAUUUUUGUCAAGUUCACUUGCUCGUCCAAACGGUCUCUUUCUAAGAUCCCUGUAUCCCGUUAUUCCUCAGGAUUAUUAUUUUUUUAACAAGGUCCUCCGAUUGUGGGAAGCAGAGGAGGAGGAGGUGCAAAGGGAAGAAGCUGGAGCUUUUCCAAGUUAUUUCUCCGCUCCGGGGCAUGUGCAGGACAAGUCCAGAUGUACAUAUGUUUGGCUGUGCGUGAAGAGGCUGUCCUCCCCAACCUUCCCUUGCAAAGCACUGCUGAAGUCACGGAGUCUGCCCUACCCACAGGGACACUCGGGGUGGAGUACUUCUAUUGCAAAACUGCUCAGCUAUUCAGCAGGCCUGGCUCACAGCUCAAGAGAGGCCAUAGGCUGGGAUCAGAAGGGGCUUUUAAGGAAGAAAAGCAGAAUCAGAAUGGAUACGAAACUCAGAGGUUGGCCAGGGCAUGUAACCUGCUCCACGUUAAAAAAUAAAAGCAGAACGGUUUUUGCCUUC
Molecule: non-coding RNA, 2506 nt
Organism: Thamnophis sirtalis
Lineage: Eukaryota; Metazoa; Chordata; Lepidosauria; Squamata; Natricidae
Source: RefSeq, a predicted model, not a curated record